Gadus morhua (Atlantic cod) is the source of this 3078-nucleotide long non-coding RNA. The record is from Ensembl. NCBI's taxonomy places the organism in Eukaryota, Metazoa, Chordata, Actinopteri, Gadiformes, Gadidae.
AUGACAGUGUUUGGUUUGUUUUAUUUCCAAGACGGCUCCGUUAGAGCAGAUAAUACAUCCGUCAUACGUGAUGCAUACAGAAAUAAAAAAAUAACGGUUAACUGCAGGGAAGACCUCGAGUCGGAGCAGGGCUGGAUAGAGGUAAUUUGGCCUACACAACGGCGACAACAAGAGGCGAAGCCUAUUGCAGCCAAAUUGCUUUUCUUUGGAGACACGGUGAGGGAGAAAUUCCCCAACACCAUGGUUAGUGAGAUCCGGGCCCUGCUGCGGAGGAAAUGCAAUAAUGAGGGCUACACCAAGGUUGCUCCUCAGUAGCUUUAUUAUAUAUGUUAUAUAUGUCAGAUGUUUUAAAGUUAGGUGUUAUUGAAUGUAUGUUUGUAUUAAUAUUUAAAUUAAAGUUUUGGUUUGUACAAUUUAAGUGUUUUUUGUCAUGGAACAAAAUAGCACCCAUGGAGUGUACUAAAAUGGUACCAGAAAGAAGUGCAUGUGAAGUAUAAUAUGUAUUGUAAGUAUAUUUCUGUAGUAUUUAUAAAGUACUUAGUAGUAUAACAGUAUUGUACUUAAAAUACCCUUAAUAUACGCUUCCACUUUACAUUAUAGUAUAAUAACUAUACUUUAAGUACAUGCCUUUGAUGCUUAAAUUGUGACACAAAUUGACUAUAAAUACAUAAUAAAUGCAUUUUUAGUUACAUAAUUGCACACUUUAAAAGUACUAAAUAUAGUCAGAAAGUGUACUUGAAUUUAAUUAGAAAUAUGACAGAGGAAUGAUAAUAGUGUGUUAAAAAUACACUUCUAUUAUGUAGUAUAAGCAGUGAUAAAAUACACUCAAUAUACACUUCUGCUCCUCUUUAGAGUAUAAUAACAUUGUACUUAAAGUGCAUGCCUUUGAUGCUGCAAUUGUGAUAGAAAUGUACUAUAAAUACAUUUUAAUUAACAUAAUGGCAGACUUAAAAAGUACUAAAUAUAGUCAGAAAGUGUAUUUGAAUUUAAUUUGAAAUAUGACAGAAGUAUGAUAAUAGUGUGUUCAAAAUAUACUUAUAUACUACUAUCAAUUGAACCAUACUGCCUUUUUAAGUAUAUUUCAAACACACUGGUAAUAUAAUGCUAUUGUACUGCAAGAGUGUUUCAAAUGCUAGAAAUCAUACUUUUCACUAGUGUACUUCAGUACACUUAAAGGUUGUCAAAAGUUGUGCAAUUUUAGCAUACUAUUUACACUUGGAGUAUACUGGAGUAUAUCUAUAGUAGUACUUAAGGUAUACCUUAGUACACUUUGGUAUACUUGAAUGCGACGAAAUUAGUACAGAAUACAGUUACAUACUAAAAGUGGACUUAGUACAUCCUUUCAAAAGUGUCGUUGAAGUAUAAUAUUUUUUCACCUGGGCAGUGAUAUGCUCGUACUCCUCGUUGAACUCUGCCAGACUGCUCUUGAUGGACCAAAGGAGCCGGCGCUUGCCUUUGUAGGAGCCCUCACCCUGCCGGGAUUUAUAUAGCUCCCCCAAGUACCUGGAGAACAGCAUCAGAAAAAAACCAAGUGCAUUUAGUAUACCUACUGUACUUAAUAUUGUACAGUGGAGCAUUCACUUUGUCAGUAAAUCGUCCAAGCUGUACUGUAGUUUGUGAGGGCUAUGGUUCUGGUUCUCCUCUAGUGUGAGGGCUAAGGGUCUGGUUCUCCUCUAGUGUGAGGGCUAAGGGUCUGGUUCUCCUCUGGUGUGAGGGCUAAGGGUCUGGUUCUCCUCUGGUGUGAGGGCUAAGGGUCUGGUUCUCCUCUAGUGUGAGGGCUUAGGGUCUGGUUCUCCUCUAGUGUGAGGGCUAAGGGUCUGGAUCUCUACUGGACCUCAGCAGCUUCAGCUUGGUUCUUCUCCGGGGGCUCCAGAGGUCCUCCUGCCCCGUGAUGUCACUGCAGAAGCAGGGCAGGCUGUAGAGACACUGCAGGGACGCGUUCAGGAAGCAGCUGUUUCCAAUGUUGGGCAAGCUGAAGAAAACACAUACACAUCAUUAGUCAAUGUACCAGCCCGGAGUAUAUAGUCGUGAUGAUUAGGUUUUAAAGAAGAGACAACCAAUGUUUGGGAAAGUGUAAAUCUCUACAAAUAUAACCAGAACUCCUUAAACUAUGGACUAUAAGGGGGUGAAGGCAUCAGCGGCCCCAAACAGGCUGCUUGUAUUCAUGUUUAUUCUCUAAAGAACCAGCUCAAGAGAUGUCUUUCCUGUCUCUUACCCAAGGGCCUCCUGGUGUUGCUGGGUCUUGCUCCUACCAGAGGAGGCCCGCAGCCGGCUGACCUCGUCCCUCUGAGGCUGACUGCAACACACAGGGACGAGGGGAACAGAGAGGGAAACACAGCAAUGAGGAGGAUAGUCACGUCACGUAUAAGCAAAACGGACUCAUUCAUUCAUCGAUUUCUAUCUGAUGUCCAAUCCUGUGCUGAUGGAUCUCCCUGAUGCAAUCAGCAAAGGUUGGCUCCUGCUGUCAUACCACUGCAGAGAUGAGAAGCGACGAGGCCGGGAGAACUCUGAGGACCGACCACCACCACGGUUAAGACAAUAAUAGUUGAUCUGUGGGACAUGCUGUCUACUCAAUGGAGGACUGCUUCAAAGUACCUGUUGUCUGGGCAGGAGGCCCAGUGGGGUCCACCUCAUUGAGCUCACUCCCAGCUACUGCAGGUACCCUGAAACGCACACAUUCAUCAAGGUCAACUGAGGGUGGGGGCUGAUGUUUUAAGGACAAAUAAAAAGCAGGAAUGCAAAUUGAAAAGUUAGAAACAUGGAUGAGUCAUUUUUGGCAUAAUUUCACCGGCGGUGAACUUAAUGCUACUUGUUACCUACAUUUGAUUCCCCAGUACAUCCUCAUCAGGCAGGGUGGUGUCCUCUGAGGUCCCUUUGCUGCUCUGCUCACCGACAUCUGAUGACCGUCCUGGUGGGGAGGAGACAUCUCUGCUGCUGGGGGUGAUGACAUCUGGAAGGUCCAGGAUUCCUGUUGGAGAGAGAGAGGAGGGGGGGGAGGGAGAAAGAGACACAGUUAUUGGGGAGAUACCAGAGGACAGAAGAACAGGAACAGGGAACGGAACAGGGGAGGAUGGGGAC